AACAACGCUGGCGGCGUGCCUAACACAUGCAAGUCGAACGGGAAAACAGGGGCAACUCUGUGAGUACAGUGGCGUACGGGUGAGUAACACGUGACUACCUACCCUCGAGUGGGGGAUAACCCCGGGAAACCGGGGCUAAUACCGCAUAACAUCGCAAGAUCAAAGGAGUAAUCCGCUUGAGGAGGGGGUCGCGGCUGAUUAGCUAGUUGGUGAGGUAACGGCCCACCAAGGCGAUGAUCGGUAGCCGGCCUGAGAGGGCGCACGGCCACACUGGAACUGAAACACGGUCCAGACUCCUACGGGAGGCAGCAGUGGGGAAUUUUGCGCAAUGGGGGAAACCCUGACGCAGCAACGCCGCGUGGAGGAUGAAGUCCCUUGGGACGUAAACUCCUUUCGACCCGGACGAUAAUGACGGUACGGGUGGAAGAAGCACCGGCUAACUUCGUGCCAGCAGCCGCGGUAAUACGAGGGGUGCGAGCGUUGUUCGGAAUUAUUGGGCGUAAAGGGCGCGUA
RNAcentral lists this ribosomal RNA (513 nucleotides) under uncultured bacterium. RNAcentral describes it as "bacterial SSU rRNA". It matches the Rfam family "Bacterial small subunit ribosomal RNA", at positions 28 to 573 of the family's 1533-position model. The record is from RNAcentral.